UAAACUAGGAUUAGAUACCCUAUUAUUGGAAAUGUAAAUUUAUUAUUCUUGAUUAGUAGUAGUUAUGUGCUUGAAAUUUAAAGGAUUUGGCGGUAUUUUAGUCCUUUCAGAGGAACCUGUCCUAUAAUUGAUAUUCCACGAUUAAUUAUACUUAUUUUGAUAGUUUGUAUAUCGUCGUAGUUUGAAUGUUUUAUAAGAAUUUGUAAUGUUCAUAAUUUAUUAUUAUAAAGAAAAUCAGAUCAAGGUGCAGUAGAUGGAUAAGUAGAGAUGGGUUACAAUAAAUUUAUUUAAAUGGUUAAAAUAAUUAACAUUAUUUUAUAAAGUGGAUUUGAUUGUAAUAUUAUUUAGUUAAAUUAUAUGAUUAUGGCUCUAGGAUAUGUACAUAUCGCCCGUCGCUCCCUCUUUAAAGGGGGAUAAGUCGUAACAAAGUAGGCGUACUGGAAAGUGUGCCUAGAUAGCAGAUUAGAGCUUGUUUUUAAGCAUUUUAUUUACAUUAAGGGGUUAGUUGUGUGAGUCAACUUAAUUUGAGAGCGAUUUAUUUAUUAAUUUAAAUGAAAAUAAAAUAUUAUUUGUAUUAAGUAGUUAUUUUGAAAAAUAUUAUAGGAGUUAUAGUUUAUUAGUAUAGAUUUAGAAGAUUGAAAUAUUUUAAAGUUUAUUUAGAUUAAAAAAGAGUUAAAAUUUUGUACCUUGUGUAUCAGGGUUGAUUAAAAAUUGCUUAGUUAUUUAAAGUUCUCGAAUUUCUAAGAGCUAAUAGUUUAUAAAUUUAAUUGUGGCAUAAUUUUUUAUAAUAUACUAUUAGAAAUGAAACGUUAGUCGUUUAGAAAUAUAUCUAGUUUUUUAAGAAAUAAAUUUAAUUUGAUUAUUUAGAUAUAUUAUUCUAAUUUAUUAAAAUAAUGUUUUAAAUAUUAAAAAUUUUAAGGGAUAAGCUUUGAAAUUAAUAAUUAAAAGUUAUUUUUAUAUUAAAAAAAUAGUAGGAUUAGAAAUGUUUAUUUUUUAAUUUUUUAUAAUUAAUUUUCUUUUUUUUAAUAUAAUUUAUAUUAGCUUUAGUUUUUUUUAUUAAAAUUACUUAUUUAAUAAUAAAAUAUGUGGGAUAAUGAUUAAAUUAGUAUAAUAUAUUUGUAUUUAUUUAUUUUAUAGUAAAGGUUAAGUUGAGGAAUUCGGCAAAUUAAUUUUUCGCCUGUUUAUUAAAAACAUGUCUUUUUGAUAAUAAUUUAAAGUCUGACCUGCCCCCUGAAUUUUAAAUGGCCGCGGUAUUUUGACCGUGCAAAGGUAGCAUAAUAAUUAGUUUUUUAAUUGAAAGCUGGAAUGAAUGGUUGGACGAGAAAAUUACUGUCUUAAUUUAAUUUAAUUAGAAUUUUAUUUUUAAGUUAAAAAGCUUAAUUAUUUUUAAAAGACGAGAAGACCCUAUAGAGUUUUAUAGUUGUAUUUAUUAUAAGUUUAUGGUUGCUUUAUUUUUUAAUAUUAUAAAACUAUUUUGUUGGGGUGACAGAAAAAUUGAAGAAACUUUUUUUUAAAAUAAAAUCAUUUAUAUAUGUUUAAUUGAUCCAUUUUUUAUGAUUAUAAGAUUAAAUUACCUUAGGGAUAACAGCGUUAUUAUUUUUGAGAGUUCUUAUCGAAAAAAUAGUUUGCGACCUCGAUGUUGGAUUAAAAUUAACUUUUGGUGUAGAAGCUAAAUAGUUAGGUCUGUUCGACCUUUAAAAUUUUACAUGAUCUGAGUUCAAACCGGAGA
RNAcentral lists this ribosomal RNA (1729 nucleotides) under Xylonichus sp. NLG-2014. RNAcentral's name for it is "partial 16S ribosomal RNA". The record is from RNAcentral. Lineage: Eukaryota; Metazoa; Arthropoda; Insecta; Coleoptera; Scarabaeidae.